AACCCAGGACAUCUGGUG
Molecule: unclassified non-coding RNA, 18 nt
Filed under: Mus musculus (house mouse)
Lineage: Eukaryota; Metazoa; Chordata; Mammalia; Rodentia; Muridae
Description: oocyte_clustered_small_RNA13823
Source: RNAcentral